UCCCUGGUGGUCCAGUGGUUAGGUCUCUGCACUUCCAUUGCAGGGGACGCUGGUUCGAUCCCUGGUCAGGGAA
Lipotes vexillifer (Yangtze River dolphin) is the source of this 73-nucleotide non-coding RNA. The record is from the annotation of a RefSeq genome assembly. Lineage: Eukaryota; Metazoa; Chordata; Mammalia; Artiodactyla; Lipotidae.